AGCAUCACGCCGGAUGAACGGAUUACUCUGAUGAGGUAAAUCAUAGGUCUAACUUACCUUGAUGCUU
RNAcentral lists this transfer RNA (67 nucleotides) under Unio tumidus. RNAcentral's name for it is "tRNA-Ile". Lineage: Eukaryota; Metazoa; Mollusca; Bivalvia; Unionida; Unionidae. The record is from RNAcentral.